AGAGUUUGAUUAUGGCUCAGGAUGAACGCUGGCGGCGUGCUUAACACAUGCAAGUCGAACGGAGUUUUAAACGGAAGUUUUCGGAUGGAAGUUUAGAAACUUAGUGGCGGACGGGUGAGUAACGCGUGGGUAACCUGCCUCAUACAGGGGGAUAACAGUUAGAAAUGACUGCUAACACCGCAUAACAUAGCGAAACCGCAUGAUUUUUGCUAUCAAAUAUUUAUAGGUAUGAGAUGGGCCCGCGUCUGAUUAGCUAGUUGGUGGGGUAAAAGCCUACCAAGGCGACGAUCAGUAGCCGGCUUGAGAGAGUGACCGGCCACAUUGGGACUGAGACACGGCCCAAACUCCUACGGGAGGCAGCAGUGGGGAAUAUUGGACAAUGGGGGAAACCCUGAUCCAGCGAACCGCCGCGUGAGUGAAGAAGUAUUUCGGUAUGUAAAGCUCUAUCAGCAGGGAAGAUAAUGACAGUACCUGACUAAGAAGCCCCGGCUAACUACGUGCCAGCAGCCGC
Molecule: ribosomal RNA, 511 nt
Filed under: uncultured bacterium
Lineage: Bacteria
Description: bacterial SSU rRNA
Rfam family: Bacterial small subunit ribosomal RNA
Source: RNAcentral